CCGGCCGGGAACUCAAAGGAGACUGCCAGUGAUAAACUGGAGGAAGGUGGGGAUGACGUCAAGUCAUCAUGGCCCUUACGACCAGGGCUACACACGUGCUACAAUGGCGCAUACAAAGAGAAGCGACCUCGCGAGAGCAAGCGGACCUCAUAAAGUGCGUCGUAGUCCGGAUUGGAGUCUGCAACUCGACUCCAUGAAGUCGGAAUCGCUAGUAAUCGUGGAUCAGAAUGCCACGGUGAAUACGUUCCCGGGCCUUGUACACACCGCCCGUCACACCAUGGGAGUGGGUUGCAAAAGAAGUAGGUAGCUUAACCUUCGGGAGGGCGCUUACCACUUUGUGAUUCAUGACUGGGGUGAAGUCGUAACAAGGUAACCGUAGGGGAACCUGCGGUUGGAUCAC
This 400-nucleotide ribosomal RNA is filed under the name Escherichia coli. RNAcentral describes it as "bacterial SSU rRNA". It matches the Rfam family "Bacterial small subunit ribosomal RNA", at positions 1127 to 1526 of the family's 1533-position model. Lineage: Bacteria; Pseudomonadati; Pseudomonadota; Gammaproteobacteria; Enterobacterales; Enterobacteriaceae. The record is from RNAcentral.